This 296-nucleotide ribosomal RNA is filed under the name uncultured bacterium. RNAcentral's name for it is "partial 16S ribosomal RNA". It matches the Rfam family "Bacterial small subunit ribosomal RNA", at positions 32 to 306 of the family's 1533-position model. The record is from RNAcentral.
AAUCAACGCUGGCGGCGUGCCUAACACAUGCAAGUCGAACGCGAAAGCCCCUUCGGGGGGUAAGUAGAGUGGCGUCCGGGUGAGUAACACGUAGGUAAUCUACCUUCGGGUGGGGAAUAACCAGUCGAAAGAUUGGCUAAUACCGCAUAAUGCAGCGGCACCUAAUGGUGAUUAGUUGUUAAAGCGGGGGAUCGUAAGACCUCGCGCCUGAAGAGGAGCCUGCGGCAGAUUAGCUAGUUGGGAGGUAAUGGCUCACCAAGGCUUCGAUCCUGUAGCUGGUCUGGAGAGGACGGCCA